AUACCAUGUUGAAGGCAUCUCCUGAGUAACUCCUUAAAUAUUUCCCAUGCAUCAUACAAACUUUCAUCUUCGAGUUUAUGGAAAGAUGUGAUCGCAUUCCUCAACUU
The sequence is a small nucleolar RNA, 107 nucleotides long. It matches the Rfam family "Plant small nucleolar RNA R71". Rfam says of the family: R71 is a member of the C/D box family of snoRNAs containing the C (UGAUGA) and D (CUGA) box motifs. Multiple nearly identical copies of this snoRNA have been identified in Arabidopsis, and it is thought to function as a 2'-O-ribose methylation guide for 18S ribosomal RNA. The record is from Rfam.